RNAcentral lists this ribosomal RNA (164 nucleotides) under uncultured bacterium. Its description in RNAcentral is "partial 16S ribosomal RNA". It matches the Rfam family "Bacterial small subunit ribosomal RNA", at positions 355 to 511 of the family's 1533-position model. The record is from RNAcentral.
UAGGGAAUCUUCCACAAUGGGCGAAAGCCUGAUGGAGCAACGACGCGUGUGUGAUGAAGGGUUUCGGCUCGUAAAACACUGUUGUAAGAGAAGAAUGACAUUGAGAGUAACUGUUCAAUGUGUGACGGUAUCUUACCAGAAAGGAACGGCUAAAUACGCGCCAG